This 688-nucleotide unclassified non-coding RNA is filed under the name Hevea brasiliensis (rubber tree). Lineage: Eukaryota; Viridiplantae; Streptophyta; Magnoliopsida; Malpighiales; Euphorbiaceae. The record is from RNAcentral.
GGAUUAAGCUAUUAGUGCAGAUUUGAGAGAAUCCUCGACUCCUUGAGAUGGAGAGUAAAUAUUGUCUAUAUCUUGGAGGCCGGAAUGGCCAGCGGGCUAAAUAAACCUUAAAAAAAAUAAAUAAAUUUUGUGACUGGGGCACACCUUGCCUAGGCAAAGCUAAGCUUGCCCAACACCUUUUGGCGCCUUUAAUAACACUUAUUCAUAUGCACUAUUACUUACUAUAUUUUCUCAGAAAAGCAAUAAAAAAAUACCUUUUACUUUAUUGACGUUUGAGAGGAUAAUGCUCUAAAUCACUUGAUGAUGACAUAUGCAACAAAAAACUAUUUGUUCGUUAAUUUAAAAAAGCUUCCUCUGAGUUUAAAAUGAGUGUCCCAAGCAUCAGUUUCCCAGCUCAGGGCAAGAUUAUUAGUAAUAAAUUUCCAGCCAUGAAAAAAGGAUAAACCAACAAUCAUAGUUAUUAAAGGGUGCACCUCUACUCAAUGCUCUAGCCUCUUAGCAGCUCUACCAAGGUCAGGUGCAUGCCUUAUUGCCUAUGCAAGCACAUCUUUCGAAUAAGGUGCAACAAUGGUGUGCCUUCAUUAUAUUUUGACUACCACUACUUAUUUUUUAUGGAAAAGUAUAAAAAGGUACCGAAAGGUUUUUCCGGCUUUGAUGCUUACGGGCCUAUAGUUCAAUUUUGAAAAAA